GACGAACGCUGGCGGCGUGCUUAACACAUGCAAGUCGAACGGAAAGGCCCUGCUUUUGUGGGGUGCUCGAGUGGCGAACGGGUGAGUAACACGUGAGUAACCUGCCCUUGACUUUGGGAUAACUUCAGGAAACUGGGGCUAAUACCGGAUAGGAGCUCCUGCUGCAUGGUGGGGGUUGGAAAGUUUCGGCGGUUGGGGAUGGACUCGCGGCUUAUCAGCUUGUUGGUGGGGUAGUGGCUUACCAAGGCUUUGACGGGUAGCCGGCCUGAGAGGGUGACCGGCCACAUUGGGACUGAGAUACGGCCCAGACUCCUACGGGAGGCAGCAGUGGGGAAUAUUGCACAAUGGGCGGAAGCCUGAUGCAGCAACGCCGCGUGCGGGAUGACGGCCUUCGGGUUGUAAGCCGCUUUCGCCUGUGACGAAGCGUGAGUGACGGUAAUGGGUAAAGAAGCACCGGCUAACUACGUGCCAGCAGCCGCGGUGAUACGUAGGGUGCGAGCGUUGUCCGGAUUUAUUGGGCGUAAAGGGCUCGUAGGUGGUUGAUCGCGUCGGAAGUGUAAUCUUGGGGCUUAACCCUGAGCGUGCUUUCGAUACGGGUUGACUUGAGGAAGGUAGGGGAGAAUGGAAUUCCUGGUGGAGCGGUGGAAUGCGCAGAUAUCAGGAGGAACACCAGUGGCGAAGGCGGUUCUCUGGGCCUUUCCUGACGCUGAGGAGCGAAAGCGUGGGGAGCGAACAGGCUUAGAUACCCUGGUAGUCCACGCUGUAAACGGUGGGUACUAGGUGUGGGGUCCAUUCCACGGGUUCCGUGCCGUAGCUAACGCUUUAAGUACCCCGCCUGGGGAGUACGGCCGCAAGGCUAAAACUCAAAGGAAUUGACGGGGCCCCGCACAAGCGGCGGAGCAUGCGGAUUAAUUCGAUGCAACGCGUAGAACCUUACCUGGGUUUGACAUGGAUCGGGAGCGCUCAGAGAUGGGUGUGCCUCUUUUGGGGUCGGUUCACAGGUGGUGCAUGGCUGUCGUCAGCUCGUGUCGUGAGAUGUUGGGUUAAGUCCCGCAACGAGCGCAACCCUUGUUCACUGUUGCCAGCACGUUAUGGUGGGGACUCAGUGGAGACCGCCGGGGUCAACUCGGAGGAAGGUGGGGAUGACGUCAAGUCAUCAUGCCCCUUAUGUCCAGGGCUUCACGCAUGCUACAAUGGCUGGUACAGAGAGUGGCGAGCCUGUGAGGGUGAGCGAAUCUCGGAAAGCCGGUCUCAGUUCGGGUUGGGGUCUGCAACUCGACCUCAUGAAGUCGGAGUCGCUAGUAAUCGCAGAUCAGCAACGCUGCGGUGAAUACGUUCCCGGGGCU
This 1346-nucleotide ribosomal RNA is filed under the name uncultured bacterium. RNAcentral's name for it is "bacterial SSU rRNA". It matches the Rfam family "Bacterial small subunit ribosomal RNA", at positions 28 to 1381 of the family's 1533-position model. The record is from RNAcentral.